CACAUAUAACUUCAUUCAUGAUCUUUUCUUUUGAAAUCCUUCUCUUUUUCGGGUACCCUUGAAGUGUGGUACUUGACUGAUAGCAAUAGGCUUUGGUUUUCGGAACCUGUUCAUCAUAUUUGGCCAAUAGAUAAUACGGGGUUUCCAUACCGGCCUUUCGACCUCAGGUAUUAGCCGUAUUUUAUUUCAUUAAUUGUGGGUUUUCCAUACUGGUCUUUCGACCUCAGGUAUUUGCCACCAUGUGUUGGGUCCGCCGGUCCCUCCCGCGUCCCUUGCCUACCCGACCAUCAAUAUAGUACCAUACUCCCAUUUUCGAAAACAUAUGCUUUCAUAUCCCUAUGACUCAUCAAUCGUUCAAACAUCGUGAAGAACAGGUAGGAAAAGUCACAUUAAACCACACAUAAUUAGGUUCUUAUGAUGAGCAAAUGAAUGCUUCAACUUACCUCAAGUUCAAUAUGGUGUAUGAAGUGAAUAGAUCAGUCUCAUAUAGGUUGUGCUAGAGUCCUUGAUUAGAGAUGAAUUCAAACAUCAAAACUUAGGAUUUUCAGCUAGAAAAGGUGCAUAACUUGUUCUAGCUCUACUUCUAGGAGUUCUUGUAGUUUGAUGUUCUCUUAUGCGAGUACGGAAGUUAAGAAAUAUGAAGAGUAGCUUAAGUAAAUUGGUCUGGUUGUUUUUGGAAGAAGACAAGUGAAAAUGAAGAUAAAAACACAAAGUCUUCACUUAUCUACCCAUUCCCAACAAGGCCAAAUGGAGGAUGAUGAUUGGAAGGCUUGCUUUUGCUGGAUUCAUGUGGUUCCUCCAGGUUUUUCUAGCUUGAGAUAAGAUAUGGGCUGAUGCUUACUCAUUAUAAUCAAGUGUAAACAAUUUGAGAAUGGUCUUGUGCAACCUAGUCAACCAACCAAUCAAAUUGCACCCUUUUGCAUACUUUUGGUUUUAGUCUAAUAUGAGUUACUCAAGUAAUUAUAUAUGUAAUUAAUCAUAUUAAAAUGUAAUUAAAAUGCUGAAAUGCAUCUAAGACAAAUAUAUCACCGUUUAGCAUAUUGAUCCCUUCUUAACCGAGAAACUUAACUUCUCACUACAAUAAAUCAUUUAAGUUAAUGUUAAAUCAUAAAGUAGAUGUUAAAUAACAUGUAUCAUGUAUUAUCACAGUUUAAGAAAAGUAUUCGAUCACGUAUUAAAACACAAUUAAGGCAAAUGUGUAGCAAGUAGUCGUGAUCAUGCAUCAUGAAUAAUGAAUUAUAACUAUAUGCAUUGAUGCAAUAUGCUUAUUAUUGGCCAUGUAUGGAUGGUUGGGCAUUACAAUUCUUCCCUCCUUAUAAAAUUUCGCCCUCGAAAUUUGACGUACCGAACAAUUUUGGAUAUUUUCUAUGCAACAUAUAAAUCAAAUGUUAGAGUAGGUGACCAACAAGCCAACUUGUGGUUGUGGUCUUUCUCUUUUCCUUGUAAUCACGAUUCUACUAGAUCAACUCACAGUAAUAGAGUAACUCGUUAGGACUAUAUCUAUGCUGCUUGCAUGGGAUAACAGAUAUAGAAUGCCAAAUAAGAUAUUUUAUUAUUACGAACGAAAAACGAUUGUUUUAUUACAAGAUAAAAGGAAAGACCACAGCCACAAGUUGGCUUGCUGGUCACCUACUCUAACAAUCUCCCACUUGACCUAAAGCCAACUACUCAUAAAUCUAAGUCCCAUCGACUCUCGAUGUUUCUCGUGGACUGAUCCUGACAAUGGCUUGGUGAAGGGAUCUGCAAUAUUGUCCUCCGAGGUGACUCUGUCUAGCUUGACUUCACCUCUCUCUAUGAUCUCUCGGAUCACAUGGUAUUUUCUCAACACGUGCUUCGACUUCUGAUGAGCUCUUGGUUCCUUAGCUUGCGCUACGGCUCCGUUGUUAUCGCAGUACAGCCGUACUGGAUCGCUAGCGUUCGGAAAUACACCCAACUCUUGGAUGAAUUUCCUAAUCCAUGACCCUUCCUUUGAAGCAUCUGAUGCUGCAAUAUAUUCAGCCUCGGUGGUGGAAUCAGCCGUUGUGCCUUGCUUGGAACUCUUCCAACACACGGCACCUCCGUUGACUUUGAAUAUAUACCCCGAGUUUGACUUUGAGUCAUCCACGUCCGAUUGAAAACUAGAAUCCGUGAAGCCUUCUAAUUUCAACUCGGUAUCCCCAUAGACCAAAAACAAAUCUCGAGUUCUUCGCAAGUACUUGAGAAUGUCCUUCACAGCCUUCCAAUGGGCUGGGCCGGGGUCGGACUGAUAUCUGCUUGUGAUGCUCACAGCAUACGCAAUAUCAGGUCGUGUACAUAGCAUGCCAUACAUUAUGCUUCCUAUAGCGGAUGCAUAAGGUGUCCUUUUCAUCUCCUCGAUUUCCAUUUGCGUUUGAGGACGCAUGGAUUUCGAGAGACGAACCCCAUGGGACAUUGGCAAGAAUCCCUUCUUGGAUUCUUCCAUGCUAAACCGUUUAAGAACGGUGUCUAUGUACAUGGAUUGGGACAAGCCAAGCAAUCUCCUCGAACUAUCUCUAUAGAUCCGUAUUCCCAAUACGUAGGAUGCUUCUCCCAAAUCCUUCAUCGAGAAACGUGUGGAUAACCAUACUUUAGUCGACUGCAACAUCCCUACAUCAUUCCCAAUGAGUAGUAUGUCAUCAACAUAAAGUACAAGGAAAGUCACUGCACUCCCACUAACCUUCUUGUAGACACAAGGUUCCUCCGGGUUUUUCACAAAUUCAAACUCUUUGAUAGUUGUGUCGAACCUUUUGUUCCAACUACGGGAUGCUUGUUUCAAUCCAUAAAUGGAUCGCUGGAGUUUGCAAACCUUUUGCUCAUCUCCAGAAGAUAUGAAGCCUUCCGGCUGCGCCAUGUAAAUUUCUUCCUCAAUGUCCCCAUUAAGGAAAGCGGUCUUCACAUCCAUUUGCCAUAUCUCGUAGUCAUACCACGCAGAGAUGGCCAGCAAAAUCCUAAUGGACUUAAGCAUAGCAACUGGAGAGAAGGUUUCCUCAUAGUCAACUCCUUGCUUUUGAGUAUAACCCUUCGCUACCAAUCUAGCCUUGUAGGUCGAUACCUUUCCAUCUACUCCAAUUUUCUUCUUAUAGAUCCACUUGCAGCCUAUGGGAACAAUUCCCUCAGGUGGAUCUACCAAGGUCCAUACCUUGUUGGAGUACAUAGAGUCCACUUCGGAUUUCAUGGCAUUUAGCCAAUGUCCCUUGUCUGUAUCCGAUACAGCUUCGUUGAAAGUUCUAGGAUCACAUCCUUGGUCAACUUCAUCAACGAGGAAUAACCUAUCGGGCGCUCUCCGAACUCUUUCGGAUCUACGCAGCGACGGUUCAGGAGGUAUAUUAGUGGUUUGUUGAAUUGGUUCAUUAUCUGAUUGUUGUGCUUGAACUUCAGAUUGUGGUUCUCGAACUUCUUCGAGAUCAACUACACUGCCCUUUCUAUCCGAUAGAAAUUCCUUCUCAAGGAACACGGCAUUUCUCGAGACGAACACCUUUGCCUCGGAAACAUAGUAGAAUUCGUAUCCCAUAGAAUCAUCGGGAUACCCCACAAAAUAGCAUAGGUCGGAUUUUGUAUCCAACUUAUCUCCCACUAGCCGCUUCACGUAAGUGGGACAACCCCAUAUCCUAAUAUGUUUAAACGUGGGUUUCUUGGAGUGCCAAAGUUCAUAAGGUGUGGAAUCAACUGCUUUGGUAUUAACCCUAUUCAGCAAGUACACGGCAGUUAGGAGUGCAUGACCCCACAGGUAUGCCGGUAGCUCGGUGAACCCCAUCAUAGAUCAAACCAUGUCUAACAGUGUUCGAUUCCGACGUUCGGAAACUCCAUUGAGUUGAGGAGUUCCAGGAGGAGUCCAUUGAGACAGAAUCCCAUUCUCUUUAAGAUAGUCUAUAAACUCAGUACUUAAGUAUUCGCCACCACGAUCGGAUCGUAGUUUCUUAAUACGUCUACCGAGUUGGUUUUCUACUUGGUGUCUAAAAUCUUUGAACUUUUCAAAAGUUUCAGACUUAUACUUCAUUAAGUAUACGAAACCAUACCUAGAAUAAUCAUCGGUAAAGGUAACGAAGUAGUUAAAACCACCCCUAGCACUAACACUUAGUGGACCACACACGUCUGAAUGGAUCAAAUCCAAAAGACCCUCGGCUCGUUCCAUCUUCCCUUUGAAGGGAGUCUUGGUCAUUUUUCCUUUAAGGCAGGAUACACAAGUUUGAAGUGAUUUAACGUCCUCCAAGGAGAACAUUCCUUCACUAACAAACUUGUUCAUCCUUCUCAAGGAAAUGUGACCUAGUCGAGCGUGCCAAAGUUGUGCGGGGUUAAGACUUAUAUCUUUUCAUUUUGCUGAUAUAACGUUAAUAGGUAUUUCACUUGGAUUCAGUUCAUAUAAGUUGUUUAUAAGUUGUCCCUUACAAAUCACAUUUUGAUCCUUUUGUAUAAUGCAAAUCGAAUUUCCAAAAACAAAAGUAAAACCUUCAUUAUCCAAAACAGGAAUAGAAAUAAGGUUUCGAAUAAGUGACGGAACAAAUAAACAAUUGUUCAAAACAAUGGAAAAACUAGAAUCCAAAACAGAAAGAUAAAUUGUCCCAAUGGCUUCAGCAGCAACCCUUGCUCCGUUGCCCAUUCUUAGGUAGGUCUCACCCACAUUAAGCUUCCUACUUCUUGUCAUGAGCUGCAAAUCAUUACAAAGAUGUGAGCCACAACCGGUAUCCAAUACCCAAGCAGAAGAUUUAACGGACAAAUUAACUUCAACUAAAUACGUACCCUUUUCAGAACGUUUCUGAUCGAGGUAAGCCUUGCAGUUGCGUCGCCAAUGGCCCUUCUUUCCACAAUGAUGGCAAGCGUCAUCAACUUGCUUGAUGACCUUGUCAUUCUUCACUCUGCUCGACUCGCCCUUCUCAAAUUUCUUGCUCGGGCCGAAACUUCUUUCUUUCCUUUUCUUCUGCAAAGAACCUUUCUUCGCAGAAGGAGCAACUAGGAGAACAGAUUUCUCCUUCUUGAUCGUGGACUCAUAGCUGACCAACAUGUUCAACAACUCAUCCAAUGGUGGAUCGAGCUUGUUCAUGUUGAAGUUCACUAUGAACGAUUCAUAAGAACUAGGAGGGGAAAGUAGGAUCAAAUCCACCGAGAGCUCGGCCGGGAGGGUGACAUCAAGGCUUACCUGCUUCUCAAGGAGAGUGAUCAUCUUGAGACCGUGCUCGUGGACCGAAGCCCCUUCACGCAGCCUCAUGGUGAUGAACUCCUUGGUAGCUGAGUACCUCGAUGCCCUAGUAUUCUCACUGUACAUGCUUUCAAGAUGGUGCUUGAUAUCAUAAGCAUGCACGUGAGACUCAUACAUCCUCGCGAGCUCUGGCACCAUGGAUGCUAGCAUGUAGCACCUCGCAUGGAGGUCGUCCUUCAUCCAUGCCUCGAAAGUGGCAGUCUCGUCAGCAGUAGCAGUCGCAGGAAGAGCAGCGGGGGGACGUUCAUUGAGCACAUAGAGACGCUCCUCGACUUGGAGCACAAGUUUCAGAUUGCGAAGCCUAUCCAAAUAGUUUGGACCGGUGAGUUUGUUUUGGUCGAGGAUUGAGGAAAGGGGAUGUUUGGACAUUGUUGCUGAGAAAAUUUUAAGAAGACAAUAAUUAGAAUUUAGUUCGUAAUAAUCGUUACAAUUAAAAUUUUGGACUUUUAUAUUUUAAUUGUUCUCCCACUAAUUUUAUCGAAUUCCACCACCCUCUAGCAGACAAUCGAGAAAACUUAUUUUUCUUUAAUGGGCUUUAGGUCCAAUAGCGCUAAUGUAACCCGUAGUUAAUCUAUCCCGAUUACAUAAGCCUAAAGGUAGAGUACUAUCAAUCACAUCACUAUGUGACCCUAAAGAUCGAUUUACCUCACACUUGAUAAUGACCUAAGUUAAUCUAGCGAAUAUCAAAAUCUUCGUGUGUCAAGUCUAGCCUACCAAUAUGAGAUGUCAUGGAUCCAACUAUAUCAAACUAAUGCAAUCCCUAGUUAAUCUAGCCGACCACAUUAAUCCAACAUAAUUUUAUCUAUGACCGUAUCUCCAUCUAAUGUCAAUUAAAUUACAGCUUAUCCCACAAUAGCACUCCCCGCUAACACGGCUUACUGCACUAUUAUGAGAGGCUACACAUAAUUUAAUUGUUGGUAGAAGGAAAGAAAAAUUCAACAAUUUGGUUUUUCUUUAUAGCUUGAUAAUUAUUCUUGAUUAAGAAUGAGGGAUUUUGUUUUUAAAUCUUAUUAGCUCAUCGGAAGUUUUAGGUUAUGAUCGUUUGUGAUUCCUACAACUAUGUUCUCUAGGUAUGUGGAAACGCAUAUUGAUCCUAAGAGAGACAUACGAUCAUCAUCGUACUUAAUCACAAUUAUUCAUCUCAUGAAUUAAUUAAUAAAUAAGAUUAAUUGCAAAUAUAAUUAACGGACUCCUUUCAUUCAUAAAUCAAUCAAAUAAGAAUGAAGUCCAUUAAUUAUUUGCCAUCUAAUUUGUGUUCCAUUAAUUAAAUUAAUUUAACGAUUAAAUUAAAUAAUUAAUCCAACACUAUUCUUUGAAUUCAAAUUAAAUUAAUGGAUCAAUUAUCUAAUUGGGUUUAAUUGAUAAAUAAUUUCAAAAAUUAAAAAUCAAUUAAUUUUAAUAUUAAUCUCAGAAAAUCAAAUAAAUAAUUUUUUUUUUUUUUUUUUUUUUGUUGUGCUGACCGGACCGGUCGGACCGGUUCGACCGGGCCUGUUCGGUCAGCUGAAAAACAGCAGCAAAAAUCGAAUUUUUUCAAAAUUAAAAAUUUUAUAUUUUCUGAAAUAUUCAAAAUAUUAAUUAAUAUUAAACCACCCAAUUUGAUAACACCAAAAAUUCAACAAUUCAACAAAUCGAAGCAUGCUUUCGAAAGCGAUAAACACGUUGACAAAUAAACGAUUAACCCAUGGCUCUGAUACCACUGUUGGGGAUCGUGCAUGUAUACGCAGCGGAAUUUAAAAUUUUUAGAUCGAACUAAUUUCGAUUACAUGCAUAAACUAAUCACAUAGUGUAUGUGUACUGCGUCUCAUCAGUCCUCGGUGUUGUGACAUCGGCAUACUUGAGUGGGUGCUCAUACUGGAUGAGUUCACUGAACUCCCUCGCCCUAGAAAUCUAUAAGUGGUUCUCAUUCAUCGAGUAAUAGGUUUCUAAGAUAUAGUUGUACACCAUUAGUCCUUAAGACCCAGACAUCACCGUGACUUCACUAGAGGACCGAUUGUAUCGUGACCUGUCCCUAAGUCCCACCGCGGACCGCUCCAAGGGCCAACGUUCGUGCAAUCCGAAAUCUAGUGUGAAGUCUGUGCAUUGUAGUAGGGGAUUCGAGCGCUUGAGUAGUCAUGGAUGUCCUGUGUGUUCUGACGGUUUAUAAUCCAUGGAAUCUCUGGCCAGAGUUGAUAGUGGGGUGAUUAGGGAAAUGUGUUUCCCUAAGUCGCACACGAACGGAUUUAUAAUACCUAGAACGUUCGCACGGUUAUUGAACUUUAUAAGAGGUCUCGGUGAACCAAUGCCUCUAGUUCAAUCGGGACAUGUGCUACGAAAGGAUCGUACUGUACGCUAACUAUAUCAUAAGGUUCUUGCAGGCACUUCAUUUGUAUCUAGGGAAUCAUGAUGCGUAGUUGCUAGACGCCAAUCUUGAUUCGUUGGGCACCGAUUUGAUCGGGAUUAGGUAAAAUGAGUUUUACUCUAAUCAGGAAUCUUGGGAGGAGUUCAUAUAAGAACAAUGUGUUGUUCGAAUCACAAAGAGUUGUGAGCCCACGGCUAGCAUACACCUGAACCAUUGAGGGUCACACUUCUCGUGUAACAUGGAUCCUUGAUAACAAUGAGCAUAGAUUAAUAUGUUAAUCUUUGCAAAGUUGGAGGUCAAUAUGAUUGAGUCCAAGAUUCGUGAUUGUGGAUUACGAGUCGGAAUAAACGUAGAGAAAGAGAUAUGCGGAAAUUAGUGAACUUUCUAAAUUGAGAAGUUUCCCAAUGUUGCUGGUCCACUGAAGUGGAAGAUUCCAAUUUUGGAAAUUGGAAAUUUCGAAGAGGCACUCGUAUCGACGAGGACUUUGAGCUCGUCACAAAUAUAAUUUUGUUAUAAUUUUGUGGACGAUCGUUUAUUAGAAACGAGGCCGACGAGGGAAUGGGCUUAAUGCAUCAGUGGGUCAAGCCCAAUGACUUAAGCCCACUAGGGUUUAAAACCCUAAGUAUAAAUAGACCUCAAAAGUAGUUUUGAGAUCAGAUUUUCAAGCACCAAAACCCUAGCCGCUCAGCCCCCCCUCUCGGCCGUUGCAUCUCCGCCGCGCCACCGCCAUCCGCCGCCGGAAUCCGCCGGUUUUUCCCUCUCCUUUCUCUAUCGUAUUCCCUUGUUAUCUAACCCCUUUGUAUCUAGUGCUACAGUAGGGGGAGAUCUGUUUAUUCGAGGUGAAACCUAAUUGGAGAGGAGCUGCUGCCCCGACGGAAUCGCCGCACCGCCGCUGCACCGCCGCACGCGCCGCUGCACCGCCCACGCGCCGCCGCCGUCGUCACGCACGCGCCGCCGUCGCCACACCUUCGGUCCAGCUGCCGUUUGGUGGUGUUCCUGCAGCCCCUAGGAGUGGUAUAUAGCAGCUUGUACGUGACUCGUUCUAGGAUUUCGAUUCGUCGAAAUCGCACGCUACAAGAGGUAAAUGAAUCGAAACUUUCGUAAAUUAAUUCGAGCAUGUUUUGUGUGAAUUAUAAUUUAUGAGCAUGAGUAAUACGUGAUUACAUGUUUCGAUUUUGUGUAAUGAAGUAUAAGCAUGUUUCGUGAUUUUCGGUUUUACGUAUUUUUCAAUUAAAUCGAAAAUUACCAUAUGUAUGGCGGAAGCGUUAAGGUACGUUGACUAUGUGAUUAGUUUAUGCAUGUAAUCGAAAUUAGUUCGAUCUAAAAUUAUUAAAUUCCGCUGCGUAUACAUGCACGAUCCCCAACAUCAAACACGUAGGUAAAUAAGAAAAGAGUUAACCAAGCUUCCCAGCCAAAGUAUGUUCAUAUGCCUUCUUCUGUCUCCAGAAAAGAUUUUAAACCUCCGCUCUGAUACCAAAAAUGUAACGGCCCACAACCUAACAACAGAAUCCAAUCGGAUCACCACCAUUAAGUUAGGGAUGCUAAUGUUUUUAUAUAUAAUUAAACAUUAUGGUUUUAAUACAAAAAUACGUUAUAUUCUUUGAAAAGAAAUCAAACUUUGUACUUUCUCAAAACUGUACAUAUAUAUAUAUAUAUAUAUAUAUAUAUAUAUAUAUAUAUAUAUAUAUAUAUAUAUAACGGCUAAUAAAAUGAAAUCAGAGUUUUUAGCUCGGCGACAAAAAUGGCUCGAAGCAUGGCAUAUGAACAAAUCUAUGACUGGCCGCUCUUGGCUAGGUCAACUUCUAAACAUGUACAUCAUUACGUGCAUCAUAAGAACCUAAUUGGCUAACAGCUGAGCAAGUUGAAACUGAUGUAAUAGCAAUAUAUCACAUAACACGUUAUUCUCUCAACAUACACAAUAUCACAUAUAACUUCAUUCAUGAUCUUUUCUUUUGAAAUCCUUCUCUUUUUCUAGAACCCUUGAAGUGUGGUACUUGACUGAUAGCAAUAGGCUUUGGUUUUCGGAACCUGUUCAUCAUAUUUGGCCAAUAGAUAAUACGGGGUUUCCAUACCAGCCUUUCGACCUCAGGUAUUAGCCGUAUUUUAUUUCAUUAAUUGUGGGUUUUCCAUACUGGUCUUUCGACCUCAGGUAUUUGCCACCAUGUGUUGGGUCCGCCGGUCCCUCCCGCGUCCCUUGCCUACUCGACCAUCAAUCAAGUACCAUACUCCCAUUUUUUAAAACAUAUUCUUUCAUAUCCCUAUGACUCGUCAAUCAUUCAAACAUCGUGAAGAACACGUAGCAAAAGUCACAUUAAAGCACACAUAAUUAGGUUCUUAUGAUGAGCAAAUGAAUGCUUCAACUUACCUCAAGUUCAAUAUGGUGUAUGAAGUGAAAAGAUCAGUCUCAUAUAGGUUGUGCUAGAGUCCUUGUUUAGAGAUGAAUUCAAACUUCAAAA
RNAcentral lists this long non-coding RNA (9985 nucleotides) under Erythranthe guttata (spotted monkey flower). RNAcentral describes it as "long non-coding RNA (EGUT_LNC003580)". The record is from RNAcentral. Lineage: Eukaryota; Viridiplantae; Streptophyta; Magnoliopsida; Lamiales; Phrymaceae.